AUUGAACGCUGGCGGCAGGCCUAACACAUGCAAGUCGAACGGUAGCACAGAGAGCUUGCUCUCGGGUGACGAGUGGCGGACGGGUGAGUAACGUCUGGGAAACUGUCCGAUGGAGGGGGAUAACUACUGGAAACGGUAGCUAAUACCGCAUAACGUCGCAAGACCAAAGUGGGGGACCUUCGGGCCUCACACCAUCGGAUGUGCCCAGAUGGGAUUAGCUAGUAGGUGGGGUAAUGGCUCACCUAGGCGACGAUCCCUAGCUGGUCUGAGAGGAUGACCAGCCACACUGGAACUGAGACACGGUCCAGACUCCUACGGGAGGCAGCAGUGGGGAAUAUUGCACAAUGGGCGCAAGCCUGAUGCAGCCAUGCCGCGUGUAUGAAGAAGGCCUUCGGGUUGUAAAGUACUUUCAGCGGGGAGGAAGGCGGUGAAGUUAAUAACUUCACCGAUUGACGUUACCCGCAGAAGAAGCACCGGCUAACUCCGUGCCAGCAGCCGCCGUAA
Molecule: ribosomal RNA, 504 nt
Filed under: uncultured bacterium
Lineage: Bacteria
Description: partial 16S ribosomal RNA
Rfam family: Bacterial small subunit ribosomal RNA
Source: RNAcentral